GACGAACGCUGGCGGCGUGCUUAACACAUGCAAGUCGAACGGAAAGGCCCUGCUUUUGUGGGGUGCUCGAGUGGCGAACGGGUGAGUAACACGUGAGGAACCUGCCCUUGACUUUGGGAUAACUUCAGGAAACUGGGGCUAAUACCGGAUAGGAGCUCCUGCUGCAUGAUGGGGGUUGGAAAGUUUCGGCGGUUGGGGAUGGACUCGCGGCUUAUCAGCUUGUUGGUGGGGUAGUGGCUUACCAAGGCUUUGACGGGUAGCCGGCCUGAGAGGGUGACCGGCCACAUUGGGACUGAGAUACGGCCCAGACUCCUACGGGAGGCAGCAGUGGGGAAUAUUGCACAAUGGGCGGAAGCCUGAUGCAGCAACGCCGCGUGCGGGAUGACGGCCUUCGGGUUGUAAACCGCUUUCGCCUGUGACGAAGCGUGAGUGACGGUAAUGGGUAAAGAAGCACCGGCUAACUACGUG
RNAcentral lists this ribosomal RNA (468 nucleotides) under uncultured bacterium. Its description in RNAcentral is "partial 16S ribosomal RNA". It matches the Rfam family "Bacterial small subunit ribosomal RNA", at positions 28 to 507 of the family's 1533-position model. The record is from RNAcentral.